CUGCUGGGUGUAAUUUCUAACCCCCACAGAGGAAAGCUGAAAGGACACGCACACAUUGAUCCCCAUCUGCAAGAAAACCUCUGCUGCUUGGGCAUGGUGGCGCAUGCUUCCAACCCCGGUACUCAGGCGGCAAAGGCAGAUGCAUCGCUGAGUUCGAGGCCAUCCUGGUGUACAUAAAAUCACUCAGCAUUGGAGGCUAGUGAUUUUGAGGCCAGCCUGGAUACAUACCAACAACAAAAAUAAUUACUUCUCGUAAACAGAUGGAAAACAAGACUUUACACCCAAAACAACCCCAAACCCUUCCCAUUAUUACUCUCUGAAGACUCACACUGCCUCCCCAGAAGAGUCGCCCACGGCCCUUUAACUUGGAGAAGACAUACACCACUUGGCCCCUGUAUAUAGUCAAGAAGCGGCAAUCAGGGGCCACGUAGUCCUGAAGGGCCACAGCCAUGGAGAUAGGAUCUGGGGAGGGAGAAGGAAAUGACAAAAUGACAGCAACUUCAAAACAGACCAACAGUCCAAGCCUUCAGCCCCCUUCUCUUGUUCCCUGACUCUUACGGCUGCAUUCCUCAUCUGCACACAGCUUCCGGUCAGCCAGCUUGGGCAUGGCUCGAUCAGCCCUGCUAGGCUCUGAAAAAAUAGACAAGAUGACGAUGCCAAGGAGCACUGGAGACCACGCCAUCAUGGACCGAGAUGAGAAUAACCAAGUGAAGAACGGGUCUCCAGGCUCCUCCUGCCUUCCCUCUGGGCUGAGUAUCAAAGAAACCUGUGUUCUUGAUCCCAUCUCGGCCCCAAACCAAAUUUCACCCCCACCCACUCCCCAAGGUUGUCCUCCAGCCUGUACCAUCUCAGAGAGAGGGUAAGGGCUAUGGGCCAAAGAAAAUGUCCACUUGAGCCCAAAGCAAUCCAGACGACUCCAAGUACCAGCCAUCCCCUGGAUAACCAGAGACCCAGAUAGGCAGGCUGGACUAUCGAAUUCCACCUUCAAGUCAUUUUAGGUACCUGGACCCUCCAGAGACCGAGCUAGAGAAGCCAGUAUAGAAAACCACCCUGGAAUUUCCUGUGCUGAGGUCUGAGAACAAGGCAGUUCUUUGAUUAGUAGCCACAGACAUGGUUCCCCAUUACUGAGCAAAUUCUCGGUGUCUGGCCUCAGGCUAGGCACUGUCCCACCUGGCUCACUGGAAGCUAAGCUAUCCUAGCUUCUGAGGUUCA
Molecule: long non-coding RNA, 1212 nt
Organism: Grammomys surdaster
Lineage: Eukaryota; Metazoa; Chordata; Mammalia; Rodentia; Muridae
Exons: 3
Source: RefSeq, a predicted model, not a curated record